GAUGAAGAACGUAGCGAAAUGCGAUAAGUAGUGUGAAUUGCAGAAUUCAGUGAAUCAUCGAAUCUUUGAACGCACAUUGCGCCCUUUGGUAUUCCAAAGGGCAUGCCUGUUCGAGCGUCAUUUGUACCCUCAAGCUUUGCUUGGUGUUGGGCGUCUUGUCUCUAGCUUUGCUGGAGACUCGCCUUAAAGUAAUUGGGAGCCGGCCUACUGGUUUCGGAGCGCAGCACAAGUCGCACUCUCUAUCAGCAAAGGUCUAGCAUCCAUUAAGCCUUUUUUUCAACUUUUGACCUCGGAUCAGGUAGGGAUACCCGCUGAACUUAAGCAUAUCAAUAAGCGGAGGA
This 341-nucleotide unclassified non-coding RNA is filed under the name soil metagenome. RNAcentral describes it as "partial contains 5.8S ribosomal RNA, internal transcribed spacer 2, and large subunit ribosomal RNA". The stretch from base 1 to 120 matches the Rfam family "5.8S ribosomal RNA", at positions 35 to 154 of the family's 154-position model. The record is from RNAcentral.